CGGGCCCGCACAAGCAGCGGAGCGUGUGGUUUAAUUCGAUGCUACACGAAGAACCUUACCAGGGUUUGACAUGCAAGUGGUAGGAACCGAAAGGCGACCGACCCUUCGGGGAGCUUGCACAGGUGCUGCAUGGCUGUCGUCAGCUCGUGUCGUGAGAUGUUCGGUUAAGUCCGCUAACGAGCGCAACCCUCGCUGUGUGUUACAAGUGUCACACGGUACUGCCGGUCUUAAGCCGGAGGAAGGUGGGAUGACGUCAAGUCAGCAUGGCCUCUAUGUCCAGGGCUACACACACGCUACAAUGGCCGGUACAGUGGGUUGCCAAACCGCGAGGUGGAGCUAAUCCUCAAAGCCGGUCUCAGUUCGGAUUGUAGGCUGCAACUCGCCUGCAUGAAGUCGGAGUUGCUAGUAACCGCGCGUCAGCUAUAGCGCGGUGAAUACGUUCCCGGGCCUU
This 451-nucleotide ribosomal RNA is filed under the name uncultured Leptolinea sp. RNAcentral describes it as "bacterial SSU rRNA". It matches the Rfam family "Bacterial small subunit ribosomal RNA", at positions 917 to 1381 of the family's 1533-position model. Lineage: Bacteria; Bacillati; Chloroflexota; Anaerolineae; Anaerolineales; Anaerolineaceae. The record is from RNAcentral.